This 762-nucleotide long non-coding RNA is filed under the name Homo sapiens (human). Its description in RNAcentral is "HSALNT0020131". The record is from RNAcentral. Lineage: Eukaryota; Metazoa; Chordata; Mammalia; Primates; Hominidae.
ACGCCCCAGAGGCCGGACCUGGGCAACCCCAGCCUGGAGGUGCCGGGGCCGGAGCUCCCAGAGGGCUGGGUGCGAGGCCUAGGCGGGGUCAGGUUCGGGUUCCUAGGCCAUAGCGGAGCUGCAGCCCAGGCGGCCGGAGCGGAACCCAGCCCCGCUCCGAGUGCCACGUCUCCAGGAACCCCCUCCUUACUCUUGGACAACACUCCGCCCCCGCCCGGGCCUCCGUCCCCCAAACCGCCCUCAUUUGUGCAGCGCCAGAUCCUUCGGACACAUCCCUAGGUGUCUCCAUCCUCAUUCGGUCCAUCCAACUCCCAGACCUCACGUCAACCGGCUGCACCCCACUUUCCAGCCUGCGCCCCAGAUCUGCAGCCUUCGCCCCUAGAUACACCCGCCUGGUGAUGAGGCGCUCCUCGCGUUCCUUCCGGCUCCAGGUGUCCGUGAGCCUCCCUUCCGCCCUGGCCUCCGGUCUCUGCCUUGCUCGUGCUUCUACCACCACCCUUCCCCUCCCAACCCGGUGGAUCCUCUCGUCUCCCCCAGUCUCCAGUGCACCGGCUUUCCCUCGUCCUCUGCGCAGUCCAUCUCAGCUCAUCUCUCCAAUUCAAUGCCAUCAUCUCUCCUCACCAUCUCUCGGUGCCCUGGAAUGUUUGCUGUCAGAUGUCCCCUGUGAAACCCACAAACGCUUGCGAUUUGGCCUCCUUGUUUUAUUUUGUGUAGUCCUACAACGUCUUGUUACUACCCCCUAUUACAACACUUAUAACUCAG